AAUGAAUGAAAAAGAAAGAAUUUGAGACAUCUAGAAUAUAUAUUCAGUCAAGGUAAAUGUCAAAAUGGCCUGCUGGUGAUUGAUGCUGGUUGGUCGUUUUUUGCCCCUUUUUUCCAGGAGGAGGCCGAGAAAUGGAGCAUUGGAGAGCAGAUAAACAGGUGAAUAAUGUUUGAUGGAGCAAUGAUGGAUACAGACGUAGAAGAGUCCAGACAUUGUCAUUCUGGGGAGUAGCCAUGAGAGGAGUGACAUGACCUAGGGAGGGAUAUAAUCAUUAUUAAAUUUCAACCAAGAGCUCAAGAGUGACUGAACAUAGAAAGGCAAUAAGAAGAAAUAAAUUACAGUUCUGCCUGUUUCUGACCUCUUAGUUUUGGCCACCCCUGUUCUGCUCUGUUUCUGGACUGUUACCUGGAUUCCGCCCAAUGACGACCUUGGACCUGUCUUCUAACCACGGCUUGGAUUUACCCUCCUGGAUCCAUCGGUUCCCCUGCCUGCUCUGGCUGCUGCAAGACACUGCUCCUCUUCUCUCCUGGAUCUCUGGUCCCAGCUCAGUAGUUAGACAGCAGUCAGUCCCUCUCCUCUGGACUUCAGUCCUUCUUCUGGGCUUGGACUGAGCUUUGCCAGAGAAUCCAGGGGCCCUGCCACAGCUGACAAGCAGCCGCACGCUAUUUUUAAUAAAUGCUUUGAAUCUUCCCAUUUUCUGUCUCGCCUGAAUCAGUUUAGGAUGUCAGGGAUAAUGUGA
Molecule: long non-coding RNA, 739 nt
Organism: Cyprinodon tularosa
Lineage: Eukaryota; Metazoa; Chordata; Actinopteri; Cyprinodontiformes; Cyprinodontidae
Exons: 3
Source: RefSeq, a predicted model, not a curated record